GACGAACGCUGGCGGCGUGCCUAAUACAUGCAAGUAGAACGCUGAAGGGAGAGCUUGCUCUUCUGGAUGAGUUGCGAACGGGUGAGUAACGCGUAGGUAACCUGCCUGGUAGCGGGGGAUAACUAUUGGAAACGAUAGCUAAUACCGCAUAACAUUGACUAUUGCAUGAUAGUCAAUUGAAAGGUGCAAAUGCACCACUACCAGAUGGACCUGCGUUGUAUUAGCUAGUUGGUGGGGUAACGGCUCACCAAGGCGACGAUACAUAGCCGACCUGAGAGGGUGAUCGGCCACACUGGGACUGAGACACGGCCCAGACUCCUACGGGAGGCAGCAGUAGGGAAUCUUCGGCAAUGGACGGAAGUCUGACCGAGCAACGCCGCGUGAGUGAAGAAGGUUUUCGGAUCGUAAAGCUCUGUUGUAAGAGAAGAACGAGUGUGAGAGUGG
Molecule: ribosomal RNA, 444 nt
Filed under: Streptococcus cristatus
Lineage: Bacteria; Bacillati; Bacillota; Bacilli; Lactobacillales; Streptococcaceae
Description: bacterial SSU rRNA
Rfam family: Bacterial small subunit ribosomal RNA
Source: RNAcentral